UACGUAGGGGGCAAGCGUUGUCCGGAUUUAUUGGGCGUAAAGAGCGUGUAGGCGGCCAAGCAGGUCCGCUGUGAAAACUCGAGGCUCAACCUCGAGACGUCGGUGGAAACCGUUUGGCUAGAGUCCGGAAGAGGAGAGUGGAAUUCCCGGUGUAGCGGUGAAAUGCGCAGAUAUCAGGAAGAACACCAAUGGCGAAAGCAGCUCUCUGGGACGGUACUGACGCUGAGACGCGAAAGCGUGGGGAGCGAACAGG
Molecule: ribosomal RNA, 253 nt
Filed under: uncultured bacterium
Lineage: Bacteria
Description: partial 16S ribosomal RNA
Rfam family: Bacterial small subunit ribosomal RNA
Source: RNAcentral